AUAUUGGCCGGAGACCGAUAGCGCACAAGUAGAGUGAUCGAAAGAUGAAAAGCACUUUGAAAAGAGAGUUAAAAAGCACGUGAAAUUGUUGAAAGGGAAGCGCUUGCGACCAGACUCGCUCGCGGGGUUCAGCUGGCAUUCGUGCCGGUGUACUUCCCCGCGGGCGGGCCAGCGUCGGUUUGGGCGGUCGGUCAAAGGCCCUCGGAAGGUAACGCCCCUAGGGGCGUCUUAUAGCCGAGGGUGCAAUGCGACCUGCCUAGACCGAGGAACGCGCUUCGGCUCGGACGCUGGCAUAAUGGUCGUAAACGACCCGUCUUGAAACACGGACC
Molecule: ribosomal RNA, 329 nt
Filed under: uncultured fungus
Lineage: Eukaryota; Fungi
Description: LSU rRNA
Rfam family: Eukaryotic large subunit ribosomal RNA
Source: RNAcentral